UACAGAGGGUGCGAGCGUUGUCCGGAAUCACUGGGCGUAAAGGGCGCGUAGGUGGUGGCUUAAGCGUGCGGUGAAAGCUCGGGGCUCAACCCCGAGUCGGCCGUGCGAACUGGGCUCACUGGAGCAUAGUAGAGGCAGGUGGAAUUCCGGGUGUAGCGGUGGAAUGCGUAGAGAUCCGGAAGAACACCGGUGGCGAAGGCGGCCUGCUGGGCUAUGGCUGACACUGAGGCGCGACAGCGUGGGGAGCAAACAGGG
RNAcentral lists this ribosomal RNA (255 nucleotides) under uncultured bacterium. RNAcentral describes it as "partial 16S ribosomal RNA". It matches the Rfam family "Bacterial small subunit ribosomal RNA", at positions 524 to 777 of the family's 1533-position model. The record is from RNAcentral.